CCUACGGGUGGCUGCAGUGGGGAAUAUUGGGCAAUGGGCGCAAGCCUGACCCAGCAACGCCGCGUGAAGGAAGAAGGCUCUCGGGUUGUAAACUUCUUUUAUCAGGGACGAAGCAAGUGACGGUACCUGAUGAAUAAGCCACGGCUAACUACGUGCCAGCAGCCGCGGUAAUACGUAGGUGGCAAGCGUUAUCCGGAUUUACUGGGUGGAAAGGGCGGGUAGGCGGGAAAGCAAGUCAGAUGUGAAAACCAUGGGCUCAACCUGUGGACUGCAUUUGAAACUGUUUUUCUUGAGUACUGGAGAGGCAGACGGAAUGCCUGGUGUAGCGGUGAAAUGCGUAGAUAUUAGGAGGAACACCAGUGGCGAAGGCGGUCUGCUGGACAGCAACUGACGCUGAGGCGCGAAAGCGUGGGGAGCAAACAGGAUUAGAUACCCUGGUAGUC
Molecule: ribosomal RNA, 443 nt
Filed under: uncultured bacterium
Lineage: Bacteria
Description: partial 16S ribosomal RNA
Rfam family: Bacterial small subunit ribosomal RNA
Source: RNAcentral